Long non-coding RNA from Octodon degus (degu), 107 nucleotides. RefSeq lists it as uncharacterized. Lineage: Eukaryota; Metazoa; Chordata; Mammalia; Rodentia; Octodontidae. The transcript has 3 exons. The record is from RefSeq and is a predicted model, not a curated record.
ACAGAAGCGCUGCACUAUGGAGAGAAGCCUUUCAGCCAUGGUCGUGCGGAAGGACAAGAAUCCAUGCAGCAGCCCCAGGUCACCCUGAAGGGCCUCUGCUGUGAGUG